RNAcentral lists this ribosomal RNA (497 nucleotides) under uncultured bacterium. RNAcentral's name for it is "partial 16S ribosomal RNA". It matches the Rfam family "Bacterial small subunit ribosomal RNA", at positions 28 to 507 of the family's 1533-position model. The record is from RNAcentral.
GAUGAACGCUGGCGGCGUGCCUAAUACAUGCAAGUCGAGCGAACAGACGAGGAGCUUGCUCCUCUGACGUUAGCGGCGGACGGGUGAGUAACACGUGGAUAACCUACCUAUAAGACUGGGAUAACUUCGGGAAACCGGAGCUAAUACCGGAUAAUAUAUUGAACCGCAUGGUUCAAUAGUGAAAGACGGUUUUGCUGUCACUUAUAGAUGGAUCCGCGCCGCAUUAUCUAGUUGGUAAGGUAACGGCUUACCAAGGCAACGAUGCGUAGCCGACCUGAGAGGGUGAUCGGCCACACUGGAACUGAGACACGGUCCAGACGCCUACGGGAGGCAGCAGUAGGGAAUCUUCCGCAAUGGGCGAAAGCCUGACGGAGCAACGCCGCGUGAGUGAUGAAGGUCUUCGGAUCGUAAAACUCUGUUAUUAGGGAAGAACAAAUGUGUAAGUAACUAUGCACGUCUUGACGGUACCUAAUCAGAAAGCCACGGCUAACUACGUG